CUUGGGGUGAAUUGUGCAACAAUUACGACAUUAUGUCAGUGCAUUUCCAAUUUACUCAAACAGAAAGCGAUUACAAUUUUGUGUUGAUUUUAUUUAAGAAAGACAACACCGCUCAUUAACGACAUUCGCAUUUCGCAGUUCGGAUUUCGGAAGGUCGUCUGCAUUCUGCAGGACUUACAACACUCCAUUCAUUGUGAAGUUAACCAUCUUGGCUGGAAUAAUAUCUGGGUUAACUCGAAAUCCUCCCAUGGGAUGGGUUUUGGUGUAAUACAGACUGCAAAAAUGAUCCCGAAAACUGCAAUAUUAGUUUUUUAAGAUUUACUUCAACAUUGAACAUUUAGUGAAAACUUUUAUGGAAAUGACUGCCAUCAAAGUAUCUGAAGGAUAUUUAAGUACUGGCAUCAAUAUAAUAUCAUUGGAUGAAUGUUGCCUUGAUCAUAAUCGCUCAGAGAAUGGGCAAUUCAAGCUGAUGCCUCAAGUGGAAUCAAAGCUGCCUUGCUGACUAUUUUCAUUCGAAAGGUUUACAAUUUGGAAUGUAUUGAAAACUACUGAAGUAACGGAACUUUGACGACAUCGAUGAUUCGUGGGACGUGGGUCAAGCAUCAUUGAUUAUUAUGGUGACAAGCAAGAUAGUUUGAUCCCGGUUGCUGGACCUGGCCACUGGAAUGAUCCUGAAAUCAUUGUGAAUAUGGUUAUACUUAACCUUAGCGAAUAUUCUCUAAUUGUGUUCCAAAAUGAUUCCUUGAAUUCUUUUCUUCUUCAUUUUGACCGAUUCGAACCCGAAACCAUAGACAACCGAUCCGAUGGUUUCUCGUAAUAAUAACUUAAACUUACUUAAUUGAUAGUCUUAUAUUUGAUUGAUAGUUUAACAUCAUUCGAUAGAGAAUUUUCACGUGUUUCCAGUUAUCCUCGCGUGAACUUCCAAUUAUUCUCUACUAUGUUUCGCAUUUAAUAAAUCGCUAAAUAAUUGCAUUAAAUUAAAAAAAAAUAACAGAAAUAAAUGAAGCUGAGGUUAAAAAAUAGUCUAGCGUGUGCCAGGAGUUGAACCACCGACAUGUAUUGAACAUCUCAGAUUCGUCCCUUUUCUAUACGAGACAAUCUAUUUGAAGAAAAAGAUUUUUUUUUUGUUUCAUUUUUCUUAUUAUUAACCCCCCUUCAUAUUUACAGAAUAUGUAAAGAAGUCACGAAAAAAAAAAACGAAAAAAAAAACAACUAAUCAAAGCAAGGCAUGUAAGAAAUUUGACAACGUUCGCCCUGGGCUACUGGUCUUUUAUUGGUUCUUGACUUUGUGUGCCGGUUCGUGCAUUAAACUAAUGUCUAAUGGCGUCAAUGAAGUUCACAUCACUUUUUAAGUUUUCUGUUGGACGUUCAGAUUUUCACUCGAGGUUUUCGAAUAUUGUAAACGGGAUAGACGUACUAGUUGGAGUUGUUGUCUUGGAGCAGUCCAUCAUUGGCGAACUCGGUUAUAAGAUGCUGUCUUUUCCUUCACUAUGAUCUCCAGAAUAUGCAAGGAGAUUAAGGAAAGGCCCUGUUGACCGACUUGUGAAGGCUAAAUCCGGGCUAAAUCACUAGGGACAGAAUCACCUGCAGAAGAAGAUGAGCCAUCGAAUUUACUUCUGCCCUGAUCGUCACCUGCGGCCAUGGGUAAGGUUAUACACACUUUAAUGUAAUGUUUCCACUUUCUUGUGAUUGUUACCGUUUGACACUGCACUUCUCCGUUUGAUUUCCCAUUUCCCUUGUGUCAUUUUGUGAUGUUGAAUUUUCCCAUUGGUUUUCUGUUGGUGAUGUUUAGAAUGGCGCAACGUCUUGCGUGUUUUCAAAAGCCUACAUCCAUUCCGCGCGCGUUGAAUUGUUACGAUAAAAGGUCAUCUGUUGAUGGCAUCUCCAUUGUUUUUCGCUCAAAGGAAAUUACUGCUGUAAAUUGCCGACAACUCUUUAAGAUAGCCAUAAUCCCAAAAUUGUAUUCCCAAGUUCCCAUAGUCCUUAUAAUCCCCUCCAGCAGACUGCGAUUAUUCUAUUUUUCGCCAGACGGUUUUUCUGUUUGUAUCGUUCCAUCACCGUCCAGGAAAGUCUCAUCAUGAAAAGAAUGCACAACAUUUUCACAGUUCAUCGAAAAGCUGAAAAUUGUGGGCGUAUGUUAGGAAUAUAUUUGGCAACAUUUGUUAACUACCAAGUUUUUCUUCUAUUAGCUUACACUGAGAAUUCUCUCCAGACUGUCGUACACAAGGCGAAAACUUUUUCUAAAAUUGUCAUUUUUAUCUUUUGUCUGUUUGUUUACAACGAAGUAAAUCGAA
Molecule: long non-coding RNA, 2294 nt
Organism: Daphnia pulex (common water flea)
Lineage: Eukaryota; Metazoa; Arthropoda; Branchiopoda; Diplostraca; Daphniidae
Exons: 7
Source: RefSeq, a predicted model, not a curated record